CCAUGCUCUCUCCUGCAUUCAGAGUGUGAGACUUCACCAUUACAGAUGCUAUCCCAAUCCCUGUUUCUCUGUCCCGGACCAGUGAAGCAGAUCAAGGCAUAUCCCAAAAUUAUCACGUUUUACAAGAGCAAGCCUUUUGUUGUGGAAUCUUUUUAUUUAGAUUUGAUAUCACUGCCCUUUCCUGAGGCGAAGAUCGGUGAGAAUCAAGGGGUUUCCCUUCAGGCCACAGUAGUGUUUAUAUUGCGGCAUACUAAUGAUACUGAAAUCAUAAUUUGAAUGUGAAUUAAUGCUAUGUGAAACCACAGAAAUAAAUGAGAUUUGCAGGCA
This is a long non-coding RNA of Carassius carassius (crucian carp), 327 nucleotides long. RefSeq lists it as uncharacterized. NCBI's taxonomy places the organism in Eukaryota, Metazoa, Chordata, Actinopteri, Cypriniformes, Cyprinidae. The transcript is spliced from 2 exons. The record is from RefSeq and is a predicted model, not a curated record.